ACGGGUGAGUAAUACAUCGGAACGUGUCCUGGAGUGGGGGAUAGCCCGGCGAAAGCCGGAUUAAUACCGCAUACGCUCUAAGGAGGAAAGGGGGGGAUCUUAGGACCUCUCGCUCAAGGGGCGGCCGAUGGCAGAUUAGCUAGUUGGUGGGGUAAAGGCCUACCAAGGCGACGAUCUGUAGCUGGUCUGAGAGGACGACCAGCCACACUGGGACUGAGACACGGCCCAGACUCCUACGGGAGGCAGCAGUGGGGAAUUUUGGACAAUGGGCGCAAGCCUGAUCCAGCAAUGCCGCGUGUGUGAAGAAGGCCUUCGGGUUGUAAAGCACUUUUGUCCGGAAAGAAAACCCCUGCCCUAAUACGGCGGGGGGAUGACGGUACCGGAAGAAUAAGCACCGGCUAACUACGUGCCAGCAGCCGCGGUAAUACGUAGGGUGCGAGCGUUAAUCGGAAUUACUGGGCGUAAAGCGUGCGCAGGCGGUUCGUUAAGACAGAUGUGAAAUCCCCGGGCUUAACCUGGGAACUGCAUUUGUGACUGGCGGGCUAGAGUAUGGCAGAGGGGGGUAGAAUUCCACGUGUAGCAGU
Molecule: ribosomal RNA, 584 nt
Filed under: uncultured bacterium
Lineage: Bacteria
Description: bacterial SSU rRNA
Rfam family: Bacterial small subunit ribosomal RNA
Source: RNAcentral